AGUAAAGGGCAAACCGAUCGAAAGGUCGGGACGCAAAGCCACCGGUCUAAGGGUUUUGAUACCUAAGACAGCGGAGCUGCCA
Molecule: non-coding RNA, 82 nt
Filed under: Aeromonas veronii
Lineage: Bacteria; Pseudomonadati; Pseudomonadota; Gammaproteobacteria; Aeromonadales; Aeromonadaceae
Description: Cyclic di-GMP-I riboswitch
Rfam family: c-di-GMP-I riboswitch aptamer
About the family: GEMM was predicted in a large-scale screen for bacterial structured RNA regulatory elements. Genes associated with GEMM are involved in a diverse array of functions, including chemotaxis regulation, signal transduction, secretion and chitin.
Source: RNAcentral